Long non-coding RNA from Sinocyclocheilus anshuiensis, 295 nucleotides. RefSeq lists it as uncharacterized. The transcript is spliced from 3 exons. The record is from RefSeq and is a predicted model, not a curated record. NCBI's taxonomy places the organism in Eukaryota, Metazoa, Chordata, Actinopteri, Cypriniformes, Cyprinidae.
UCCAACAAAAAAUAUGAGGACAUUACUACUAAAGAACUUUCCGGAUCAUCAAAACUACUUGUAUGUCAUUUCUCUUUCAGAAGGAAAACACCUGACAACACAACUUGACCAUGUCGGACUCUGUGGAUGCCAGACAAGUGAAUGCCAAAGAGGGUUCGUAUCUCACAGAUGCUGGAGUCGAUCAGACAGAUGCCAAACCAUAUUCAGAUGUUUUUCAAUACAAUAUGAACUAUCCCAGUUUGGGACAAUGUGUCAUCAUCAACAACAAGAAUUUCCUUAAAAAAACAGGUAAGAG